GACAGAGGUGCCAAGCGUUAGGCGGAAUCACUGGGCUUAAAGCGUGUGUAGGCGGAUCGUUAAGUGCCUUGUGAAAUCCCACGGCUCAACCGUGGAAAGGCUGGGCAUACUGGCGGUCUUGAGCUGCCUAGGGGCGACUGGAACGAAUGGUGGAGCGGUGAAAUGCGUAGAUAUCAUUCGGAACGCCAACGGUGAAAACAGGUCGCUGGGGGCAUGCUGACGCUGAGACACGAAAGCCAGGGGAG
RNAcentral lists this ribosomal RNA (245 nucleotides) under uncultured bacterium. Its description in RNAcentral is "partial 16S ribosomal RNA". It matches the Rfam family "Bacterial small subunit ribosomal RNA", at positions 524 to 768 of the family's 1533-position model. The record is from RNAcentral.